UAUGGAUUACAGUUGCCAUCUCAGACUAUGGCAAAGCUAGGCAGGUUAGUGGCCUGAAAACAUGAAAGGAGCAUAAUCAGUAAAAUCGGGAAAAACCAGGCAGGCUGACCAGAACUACUGGGAAGAGAUACAAAUUAGAAAGCAAGCAGAAUUGUGGCGUGAUCUGCAUUCUUUAAUCAAAGGAAUGAGGCUCUCUAAGAGUAAGGUGGGAUUCAGCACUGCAGAGACACAAGUCUUGGUCAUGGCUGGAUUGUGCAUUCUGUUGUCACUAAGUCCCUGACCCUAUGGCAAUGACAUCAUAAUGACCCCAAAUGCAAGUGAAGUAAACAGAAUCAGGGUAGGGCUCCAGGUGCUCUGGUGAACUCGACUUGGUGGAUGGUGUGGAAGGGCCUUUGGAGAGACCUGUGCCCACGCUAAAAGUGAAAAUGAAGGUGUUCGUUUGAGUUUGCUUGUGUGGAGCUUUUUUGGCACGGUUGACCCAUCUGUGCUCCUCCCUGUGAGUUGAUGUCACACAGGGCUUUUUUUUGGGAUUAAGGAGGCAUGGAGUUCCCAACCCUGGGGCCAUGGAUCAGUACGAGUCCAUGACCUGUCAGGAACUGGGCUGCACAGCAGGAGCACCUGGUUCUUCUUGACAACUGCACAUUUUGCUACAUGCUGUGACGACCAGGAGAGUCAUUUAAACUUUUAUUUGGAAGACUCAUGUCCAACUUGGAACACAAGCUACAAAAGAAUUCCCUACCAGCGUGCCAGCACAUCAUUUGGAAGUUCAAGGUAUUUUUGCUUAACUGCAUACCCAUUAAGAGUCCCUGGAAGAGUACAUGGCGCCUGCUGCCUGGGGUUCGACUCUGCUGUUGGGGAUUCCAGAAAUUAGAGCAGAAUUCAUAGCUCUGCCUCUCCACCUGCUGUGAGGUUCAAGUUACAAUGCCGCUGCCUAUCAGGGACCUCCAUGAUUAGUAAGCGGGCACUGUCAUAUUUUUCUC
Callithrix jacchus (white-tufted-ear marmoset) is the source of this 980-nucleotide long non-coding RNA. RefSeq lists it as uncharacterized. The record is from RefSeq and is a predicted model, not a curated record. NCBI's taxonomy places the organism in Eukaryota, Metazoa, Chordata, Mammalia, Primates, Cebidae.